UGGUAGGGAGGGCUGGGGAGGCCGCCGUUCCCCUCUCCUGAAACCGGCGAGAUGCAGGGGCCAGUAACUUCGCGGUAAGUGUCGGCCCUUGGCUGAUAGAGGUGGGUGGCAGAUAUGUGGCCAACGACCCCGUCGGGCGGGCGUAGACGCGGCAAUAUCCGUAGGGAUAUUCUCCGCGCCAUAAUCGUCGAACGCGCUAGGCUCGGGAGAGAGCAGCGAUAAGGCGAACUACCCGCGUUGAUGGCUAAGUUGGCCGAACGAGAACUCGCCUCUUAAGUCAAGGACCAAUGCUACCGGGAGGAGCUACCA
Molecule: signal recognition particle RNA, 309 nt
Filed under: Candidatus Bathyarchaeota archaeon
Lineage: Archaea; Thermoproteati; Candidatus Bathyarchaeota
Description: signal recognition particle sRNA
Rfam family: Archaeal signal recognition particle RNA
Source: RNAcentral